RNAcentral lists this long non-coding RNA (1653 nucleotides) under Homo sapiens (human). Its description in RNAcentral is "HSALNT0293075". The record is from RNAcentral. Lineage: Eukaryota; Metazoa; Chordata; Mammalia; Primates; Hominidae.
GGAGGAUAUUAGCCCUUUGUCAGAUGAGUCUGUCAGAGAUGUGAAUGUAUAUCCAAUGGCCAUUACCUCUCUUGUGGCAGUCGAUGCUAGCUACAUGCAACAGAAAUUCAUUUCUCCAAGUGCGAAUAACAGAAAAUGUUGAGACUUUCAAGCCCUUUUGGGAGUAACAGUAUCCAAUUGAGAACACCACAUACACCUAGUCAUCAUGUCUCUUCAGUCAGAGGACACAGCAUUUAAUGUUGAAUGCUAAAAAAGAAUUUCUGAGUCUUUCCAAGAGGAAACAAUGUUGGAAGAACCCCAGGAGUCUGUCUUCCCAAUUGCCCUGUUUUCUACUUCUCCUAAGGAUGAGAUGAGCAUUAUUCUCAAUACCAAGAGGUGAAAGCAACCCAAAUGUCCACUGACAUAUAAAUGGAUACAGAGAAUGGAGUAUAUACAUACAGUGGAAUAUUACUUAGCUUAAAAAGAGAAGGAAAUUCUGUCAUGUGCUAUAACAUUGAUGAACCCUGAAGACAUUAUGGUAAGUAAAAUAAGCCCAGUCGCAAAGAGACCAACACUGUAUGAUUCCACCUGUAUAAGGCAUCUAAAUUGGUCCAACUCAUAGAAAGCAGAAUUGUGGAUGUCAGGGGCUGUGAGGAAGGGGAAAUAGAGAGUUGUUUUUCGAUGGGUAUAGAGUUUCAGUUUUGCAAAAUGAAAAACUUUUAGAGAUCUAUUGCACAACAAUGUGACUAUUGUUAACACUAUUGAACUAUACACUUAGAAAUGGUCAAGAUGCUAAUUUUUAUGUUAAACAUGUUAUGUUAAAAUGUGUUUUCUACCAUAAUUUUAAAAAUAAAUAAAUAAAUUAGUUCUGUGAACGCGACAAAAUAUCGAUUAUUGUUUUAUCUUGGUGAUUGGUAUAUCUAGUACUACUUUAAUUUUGUGUCUAUAUCAAAAUUUUUUUAAUUUUUAGGGAAAAAGAAAUUUGAAAGAAUUAUGACAGAGUAUUAAUAUCUGUUCAUUCAGGGAAGGGAGCAAAUGGGUGUUUUCUGUGUGUUUGGAAUAUCUCAUCAUUGAUAAAAUCCAAAAGUAAUAGCAGUAGCCAACUGGCAACAUAGAACCUUAAGUUUACCCAGUUUGAAUCUAUGGGUCAUAAUUCUCAAUUAUCUGGAGAGACAAUCAUAUUAACUAGUCCAGUGAGACCAGUGGAGAUUAUAUAAUCCAAAUAGAGUUGUACUGGGGAAGUGGGGUCAGUUCUGAGAGGAGCGAUAUGGGCUUUUAGAGUUUCCAGAAAAAUGUUUGCUACAGAUUAAAAGGACAAGGAUUUUCACGGUAGAUUAAAAAGUUUGGUAAUAUGGCCUGGAUGUUUCAUAGCUUGAUGCCACUAUCUAGUUGUGCCACUAAGACAUCCAGAGACUCUUAUGCUAGUUUUUUCACUUCUCUGAAAGAGAAAAAAAUGCUUGUAGACUUCCAAGGUGUCUAUCACUAUACUCUGAUAGCUGAAGAUUAUAAAUAAUAUUUUUAUUUAGGAACUGUUAACAAAGUUGUCAGUUAUCUUUAUGACCUAGCCAAGAUAACUCAUUAGCUUUUAUACAAUGUGAUUAUUGAAGACAUAAAAAAGCUACAAAAAAUUAGCUGGGUGUGGUGGCAGGGGCCUGUAAUCCCAGCUACUUGGGA